Molecule: ribosomal RNA, 409 nt
Filed under: Staphylococcus aureus
Lineage: Bacteria; Bacillati; Bacillota; Bacilli; Caryophanales; Staphylococcaceae
Description: bacterial LSU rRNA
Rfam family: Bacterial large subunit ribosomal RNA
Source: RNAcentral
GUUUGGCACCUCGAUGUCGGCUCAUCGCAUCCUGGGGCUGUAGUCGGUCCCAAGGGUUGGGCUGUUCGCCCAUUAAAGCGGUACGCGAGCUGGGUUCAGAACGUCGUGAGACAGUUCGGUCCCUAUCCGUCGUGGGCGUAGGAAAUUUGAGAGGAGCUGUCCUUAGUACGAGAGGACCGGGAUGGACAUACCUCUGGUGUACCAGUUGUCGUGCCAACGGCAUAGCUGGGUAGCUAUGUGUGGACGGGAUAAGUGCUGAAAGCAUCUAAGCAUGAAGCCCCCCUCAAGAUGAGAUUUCCCAACUUCGGUUAUAAGAUCCCUCAAAGAUGAUGAGGUUAAUAGGUUCGAGGUGGAAGCAUGGUGACAUGUGGAGCUGACGAAUACUAAUCGAUCGAAGACUUAAUCAAAA